AGAGUUUGAUCAUGGCUCAGAUUGAACGCUGGCGGCAUGCCUUACACAUGCAAGUCGAACGCGAAAGUGGGGGCAACCCUGCGAGUAGAGUGGCGAACGGGUGAGUAACACAUCGGAACGUACCCAGGAGUGGGGGACAACCUCGAGAAAUCGAGGCUAAUACCGCAUACGUCCUGAGGGAGAAAGCGGGGGAUUCGCAAGGACCUCGCGCUCAUGGAGCGGCCGAUGUCGGAUUAGCUAGUUGGCGGGGUAAAAGCCCACCAAGGCUACGAUCCGUAGCUGGUUUGAGAGAACGACCAGCCACACUGGGACUGAGACACGGCCCAGACUCCUACGGGAGGCAGCAGUGGGGAAUUUUGGACAAUGGGGGCAACCCUGAUCCAGCCAUGCCGCGUGAGUGAAGAAGGCCUUCGGGUUGUAAAGCUCUUUCGGCCGGAACGAAAUCGCGUACGUGAAUAACGUGCGUGGAUGACGGUACUGGAAGAAGAAGCACCGGCUAACUACGUGCCAGCAGCCGCGGUAAUACGUAGGGUGCGAGCGUUAAUCGGAAUUACUGGGCGUAAAGCGUGCGCAGGCGGUUCUGCAAGUCAGAUGUGAAAUCCCCGGGCUUAACCUGGGAACUGCGUUUGAAACUACGGAGCUAGAGUACGGCAGAGGGGGGUGGAAUUCCCGUGUAGCAGUGAAAUGCGUAGAUAUGUGGAGGAACACCGAUGGCGAAGGCAGCCCCCUGGGCCGAUACUGACGCUCAGGCACGAAAGCGUGGGGAGCAAACAGGAUUAGAUACCCUAGUAGUCC
This 795-nucleotide ribosomal RNA is filed under the name uncultured bacterium. RNAcentral's name for it is "bacterial SSU rRNA". It matches the Rfam family "Bacterial small subunit ribosomal RNA", at positions 8 to 796 of the family's 1533-position model. The record is from RNAcentral.